This 730-nucleotide ribosomal RNA is filed under the name uncultured Rhizophagus. RNAcentral describes it as "SSU rRNA". It matches the Rfam family "Eukaryotic small subunit ribosomal RNA", at positions 368 to 1099 of the family's 1831-position model. Lineage: Eukaryota; Fungi; Glomeromycota; Glomeromycetes; Glomerales; Glomeraceae. The record is from RNAcentral.
UGUUAGGGAACGACACCGGAGAGGGAGCCUGAGAAACGGCUACCACAUCCAAGGAUGGCAGCAGGCGCGCAAAUUACCCAAUCCCGACACGGGGAGGUAGUGACAAUAAAUAACAAUACGGGGUUCUUUAGGAUCUCGUAAUUGGAAUGAGUACAAUUUAAAUCUCUUAACGAGGAACAAUUGGAGGGCAAGUCUGGUGCCAGCAGCCGCGGUAAUUCCAGCUCCAAUAGCGUAUAUUAAAGUUGUUGCAGUUAAAAAGCUCGUAGUUGAAUUUCGGGGUUAGUAGGUUGGUCAUGCCUCUGGUAUGUACUGGUCUCACUGAUUCCUCCUUCCUGAUGAGCCGUAAUGCCAUUAAUUUGGUGUUGCGGGGAAUUUGGACUGUUACUUUGAAAAAAUUAGAGUGUUUAAAGCAAGCUAACGCUUGAAUACAUUAGCAUGGAAUAAUGAAAUAGGACGUUCGAUCCUAUUUUGUUGGUUUCUAGGAUUGACGUAAUGAUUAAUAGGGAUAGUUGGGGGCAUUAGUAUUCAAUUGUCAGAGGUGAAAUUCUUGGAUUUAUUGAAGACUAACUACUGCGAAAGCAUUUGCCAAGGAUGUUUUCAUUAAUCAAGAACGAAAGUUAGGGGAUCGAAGACGAUCAGAUACCGUCGUAGUCUUAACCAUAAACUAUGCCGACUAGGGAUCGGAUGAUGUUAAUUUUUUAAUGACUCAUUCGGCGCCUUACGGGAAACA